AUUGAACGCUGGCGGCAGGCCUAACACAUGCAAGUCGAACGGUAGCACAGAGAGCUUGCUCUCGGGUGACGGGUGGCGGACGGGUGAGUAAUGUCUGGGAAACUGCCCGAUGGAGGGGGAUAACUACUGGAAACGGUAGCUAAUACCGCAUAACGUCGCAAGACCAAAGUGGGGGACCUUCGGGCCUCACACCAUCGGAUGUGCCCAGAUGGGAUUAGCUAGUAGGUGGGGUAAUGGCUCACCUAGGCGACGAUCCCUAGCUGGUCUGAGGGGAUGACAAGCCACACUGGAACUGAGACACGGUCCAGACUCCUACGGGAGGCAGCAGUGGGGAAUAUUGCACAAUGGGCGCAAGCCUGAUGCAGCCAUGCCGCGUGUAUGAAGAAGGCCUUCGGGUUGUAAAGUACUUUCAGCGGGGAGGAAGGCGGUGAAGUUAAUAACUUCACCGAUUGACGUUACCCGCAGAAGAAGCACCGGCUAACUCCGUGCCAGCCGCCGCAGUAA
RNAcentral lists this ribosomal RNA (504 nucleotides) under uncultured bacterium. RNAcentral's name for it is "partial 16S ribosomal RNA". It matches the Rfam family "Bacterial small subunit ribosomal RNA", at positions 30 to 523 of the family's 1533-position model. The record is from RNAcentral.